This is a non-coding RNA of Stegastes partitus (bicolor damselfish), 585 nucleotides long. The record is from the annotation of a RefSeq genome assembly. Lineage: Eukaryota; Metazoa; Chordata; Actinopteri; Pomacentridae.
AUGCUGUCAGUGAACUUGAGUCUGUUUGUCACUUUGUUUCUGUUCACAAUAAGAGAGUGUAAAGCAGAAGACAAAGUGACACAGCCACCAGAAGAUGUCUUUGCUGCUGAAGGAGACACAGUUACACUGGACUGUACUUUUGAGACCAGUUCCAUAACUCCUAAUUUGUUCUGGUACAAACAGGAAGUAAAUGGCUUUCCAAAGUACAUUUUAAAACGUGGUAGUUAUGGAGAAGAUAAUGCUCCAGAAUUCCAUAAAGACAGAUUUGAUGCUCAAGUCAACAAGACAUCAGUUCCUCUGAAGAUCCAGAAGCUCCAGCUGUCAGACUCUGCUGUGUACUACUGUGCUCUGCAGCCCACAAAUCAGGGAGAGCCUCCUGAGCCUGACGUCCUCCCCACCCCUCGGUUCUCCCCUCCACUGGUUUCACGCGCCACGACACCUUCCCCCGGAGUACGGAUUCCCCCCUCACACUGGAGCACACCGCUGGAGUCUCUGGAAACCCUCUCACCUCCUCCACGAAGACCAGCGUGCACCGGCACUCGCCCCUCCUGCUUCCUUGGUGUCUUCACUCCUGUCCUGCAAUAA